Molecule: unclassified non-coding RNA, 297 nt
Filed under: uncultured Leotiomycetes
Lineage: Eukaryota; Fungi; Ascomycota; Leotiomycetes
Description: sequence contains ITS1
Rfam family: 5.8S ribosomal RNA (bases 1-105)
Source: RNAcentral
GAAAUGCGAUAAGUAAUGUGAAUUGCAGAAUUCAGUGAAUCAUCGAAUCUUUGAACGCACAUUGCGCCCCUUGGUAUUCCGGGGGGCAUGCCUGUUCGAGCGUCAUUAUCACCCCUCAAGCUCAGCUUGGUGUUGGGGCCUGCCCGUCACAGGGCAGCCCUUAAAAGCAGUGGCGGUGCCAUCUGGCUCUAAGCGUAGUAAUACUCCUCGCUAUAGACGUCUGGUGGUGUCCUGCCAAAACCCCCCAUAUUUUUAAUGAUUGACCUCGGAUCAGGUAGGGAUACCCGCUGAACUUAA